AUUGAACGCUGGCGGCAUGCCUUACACAUGCAAGUCGAACGGUAACAGGUCUUCGGAUGCUGACGAGUGGCGAACGGGUGAGUAAUACAUCGGAACGUGCCCGAUCGUGGGGGAUAACGAAGCGAAAGCUUUGCUAAUACCGCAUAAGAUCUACGGAUGAAAGCAGGGGACCGCAAGGCCUUGCGCGAACGGAGCGGCCGAUGGCAGAUUAGGUAGUUGGUGGGAUAAAAGCUUACCAAGCCGACGAUCUGUUGCUGGUCUGAGAGGACGACCAGCCACACUGGGACUGAGACACGGCCCAGACUCCUACGGGAGGCAGCAGUGGGGAAUUUUGGACAAUGGGCGAAAGCCUGAUCCAGCCAUGCCGCGUGCAGGAUGAAGGCCUUCGGGUUGUAAACUGCUUUUGUACGGAACGAAAAGACUCUGGUUAAUACCUGGGGUCCAUGACGGUACCGUAAGAAUAAGCACCGGCUAACUACGUG
RNAcentral lists this ribosomal RNA (482 nucleotides) under uncultured bacterium. Its description in RNAcentral is "partial 16S ribosomal RNA". It matches the Rfam family "Bacterial small subunit ribosomal RNA", at positions 30 to 507 of the family's 1533-position model. The record is from RNAcentral.